This 330-nucleotide unclassified non-coding RNA is filed under the name soil metagenome. RNAcentral describes it as "partial contains 5.8S ribosomal RNA, internal transcribed spacer 2, and large subunit ribosomal RNA". The stretch from base 1 to 120 matches the Rfam family "5.8S ribosomal RNA", at positions 35 to 154 of the family's 154-position model. The record is from RNAcentral.
GAUGAAGAACGUAGCGAAAUGCGAUAAGUAAUGUGAAUUGCAGAAUUCAGUGAAUCAUCGAAUCUUUGAACGCACAUUGCGCCCCCUGGUAUUCCGGGGGGCAUGCCUGUUCGAGCGUCAUUUCACCACUCAAGCCUCGCUUGGUAUUGGGCAACGCGGUCCGCCGCGUGCCUCAAAUCGACCGGCUGGGUCUUCUGUCCCCUAAGCGUUGUGGAAACUAUUCGCUAAAGGGUGCUCGGGAGGCUACGCCGUAAAACAAACCCAUUUCUAAGGUUGACCUCGGAUCAGGUAGGGAUACCCGCUGAACUUAAGCAUAUCAAUAGCGGAGGA